UGCACAAGAUCAUUAGAAGAGCUGCUUGGAGCUAGGAAAGCUUAUCAAUGCCUCUUUGACCAAUCAAUCGAGGAUGUUGCUUCUCGACUUGAAGGCAUCGGACACAAGGAUCUUGACACUCUAAUGAGUUUGAAGGAGACACUUUAGUGCCUAUGCAAUCCCCAAGCAUAUUUCAGUAAGGUCUUAAAUGAUGCAGACGAGAAUACCAAAGAAGCCCUAACUCAAGUAAUAGUGACACGGAGCAAUGUUGAUAUGAAGGAAAUCAUAGAAGAAUUUGAUAAGCAAUAUAAAAUUCCUCUAAUCUAGAAGAUUGAAGAUGUAGCUCUUGGAAACUAUAAGGAUUUCUUGGUGAGCUUGAUUAGAAGAGUGGCCUAAUAAGAAUACAACUUGCAUUUCUUUAGUCAAUAUUUUAACAAUCUUUUCCAUUCUUGUAAACAUGUACAAACACGUUUGAUGACAUUAGUGAUAAAAUUAAAUUAAGCUUGUAUUUGUUAGGAAGUUUGUUAAGAGUUUGUUAUGCCAGCUCAGAUUGUAAGUAAUUAACUAAACCCUCUUGUAAUAGCUAUAUAUAUCAUAAUCAAUAAUAGACUUAAGUGAGUGUCGUCAUUCUCACCAAA
Long non-coding RNA from Vitis riparia (riverbank grape), 617 nucleotides. RefSeq lists it as uncharacterized. The record is from RefSeq and is a predicted model, not a curated record. NCBI's taxonomy places the organism in Eukaryota, Viridiplantae, Streptophyta, Magnoliopsida, Vitales, Vitaceae. The transcript is spliced from 3 exons.